AGUCUGUAGCGUCGACCACAUGGUAUUAAUUUCUUUUUUUUCCCCGUCGCUCAGCGAGUUAUGUUCCUAUCUGUUUUAGUUUACGCGUUUUUACUUACACAACUCGUACGGGCGUGUUUGCGACAGCUUUCCCGGAGAAAUUGCAUUUUGGCUAAACUUCGUUCUCAUCAAAAGGCCUGAAAGGACAUUUCUUCGGUGGUGGAGCCCAACGGAAUGACGAAGUAAAUUUGCCGCCCACCGGCACUGAUGCGCUAGGCCAACGCCCCAGGUAGCAAUCUGGGGGCGAGGACUUACGGAGUCGCCAUCUGUCGGAAGCGCCCUAGUUGCGUAGUAUGCUCCUUCCUCACAGCAGGCUAUCCGCGCUGUUGCUGCCGUGCGGUCCCGUGCUCCUGGGAAGCAUGCCGCUACGUGCUCUAUCUUGCGCGCACGUCUAGAAAGGCUUGGCAAUAUAAUUGAUCCCUACGGUGACACGUCGCGCCGAAGCACCUCCGCUGGAGAUGAAACAGCCGUCGUCAGCGCCUUCCCCAGAUCGUGGCGACGAUAUAGGUGCGCGCGCGGUCUAUGCGUGGCGAGUGCCCAGGAGAACGUUUUCUGCAGGGAGGUGACAGAUGUCAUUGCUAAAGGAAAGGAUGGCUGCAUUACACGGCAUAUUUUCCCAGCAUGUCUGAAUCCUGAUGGCCUCAAGACGGCUUACUUCGCUUUCCGGGAGCUCGGCAUGGAAAUAGAAGGAGAGCUACACAAAUCGUCAAAAGCAUUCCAUACACUCGAUGCCACCAGUGGACACGAAGUCGACGCUGGCACGGCGGUGUCCCCACGGUGUUCCACGGCGGCUUCCUGGAGCUCCCUUGUCACAAGGUUUUUCAGCCAGAUCAUCUGACCAGAUGCCUGAUGAACUGUGGCCAUAAAGCGCGGAUCAAGAAACAUGCCUAGGCUGGCCACUUCAUCAAAUUUCCACUCCGCACAAAGAGCCUUGAUACAUUUUGAAUCAAUGUUAGCAAACCCUGAGUUGCC
Long non-coding RNA from Dermacentor albipictus, 1011 nucleotides. RefSeq lists it as uncharacterized. Lineage: Eukaryota; Metazoa; Arthropoda; Arachnida; Ixodida; Ixodidae. The record is from RefSeq and is a predicted model, not a curated record.